UCUCAUAUCUCUCUAUACGGGAGAGAAGCUUCGACUAAGGUUCGAUUCGAGCGUCAGCGAGAAAGCGUUGCCGCAGGCAACGACCCGA
Molecule: small RNA, 88 nt
Filed under: Salmonella enterica subsp. enterica serovar Cerro
Lineage: Bacteria; Pseudomonadati; Pseudomonadota; Gammaproteobacteria; Enterobacterales; Enterobacteriaceae
Description: partial RtT sRNA
Rfam family: RtT RNA
About the family: This family represents a bacterial cis-regulatory element known as RtT RNA.
Source: RNAcentral